UACGGAGGAUGCAAGCGUUAUCCGGAUUCAUUGGGUUUAAAGGGUGCGUAGGCGGACUAUUAAGUCAGUGGUGAAAGCCUGCAGCUUAACUGCAGAACUGCCAUUGAUACUGAUAGUCUUGAGUUUGGUUAAGGUAGGCGGAAUGUGUAAUGUAGCGGUGAAAUGCUUAGAUAUUACACAGAACACCAAUUGCGUAGGCAGCUUACUGAGCCGACACUGACGCUGAGGAGCGAAAGCAUGGGUAGCGAA
This 249-nucleotide ribosomal RNA is filed under the name uncultured prokaryote. RNAcentral describes it as "partial 16S ribosomal RNA". It matches the Rfam family "Bacterial small subunit ribosomal RNA", at positions 524 to 772 of the family's 1533-position model. The record is from RNAcentral.